AGGAGGAACAACCCCAGUGGUGGCGGCCAGCUCUCCAGCCCUGGAGUCAGCUCCCACAGUAGCUUCAGAGCUCUCAGUCUGCAGGGGCCUGGAUACUCCAGGGGCGG
This 107-nucleotide microRNA precursor is filed under the name Canis lupus dingo (dingo). RNAcentral's name for it is "mir-8834 microRNA precursor family". It matches the Rfam family "mir-8834 microRNA precursor family". The record is from Rfam by way of RNAcentral. Lineage: Eukaryota; Metazoa; Chordata; Mammalia; Carnivora; Canidae.